RNAcentral lists this ribosomal RNA (253 nucleotides) under uncultured microorganism. Its description in RNAcentral is "partial 16S ribosomal RNA". It matches the Rfam family "Bacterial small subunit ribosomal RNA", at positions 524 to 776 of the family's 1533-position model. The record is from RNAcentral.
UACGUAGGGUGCGAGCGUUAAUCGGAUUUACUGGGCGUAAAGCGUGCGCAGGCGGCCCGUUAAGACAGGUGUGAAAUCCCUGGGCUCAACCUAGGAAUUGCGCUUGUGACUGGCGGGCUCGAGUACGGUAGAGGGGGGUGGAAUUCCUGGUGUAGCAGUGAAAUGCGUAGAAAUCAGGAGGAACACCGAUGGCGAAGGCAGCCCCCUGGGCCUGUACUGACGCUCAUGCACGAAAGCGUGGGGAGCAAACAGG